AGCGAACGCUGGCGGCAGGCCUAACACAUGCAAGUCGAACGGACCCUUCGGGGUUAGUGGCGGACGGGUGAGUAACACGUGGGAACGUGCCUUUAGGUUCGGAAUAGCUCCUGGAAACGGGUGGUAAUGCCGAAUGUGCCCUUCGGGGGAAAGAUUUAUCGCCUUUAGAGCGGCCCGCGUCUGAUUAGCUUGUUGGUGGGGUAAUGGCCCACCAAGGCUACGAUCAGUAGCUGGUCUGAGAGGAUGACCAGCCACAUUGGGACUGAGACACGGCCCAAACUCCUACGGGAGGCAGCAGUGGGGAAUCUUGCGCAAUGGGCGAAAGCCUGACGCAGCCAUGCCGCGUGUAUGAUGAAGGUCUUAGGAUUGUAAAAUACUUUCACCGGUGAAGAUAAUGACUGUAGCCGGAGAAGAAGCCCCGGCUAACUUCGUGCCAGCAGCCGCGGUAAUACGAAGGGGGCUAGCGUUGCUCGGAAUUACUGGGCGUAAAGGGAGCGUAGGCGGACAUUUAAGUCGA
This 517-nucleotide ribosomal RNA is filed under the name uncultured bacterium. Its description in RNAcentral is "bacterial SSU rRNA". It matches the Rfam family "Bacterial small subunit ribosomal RNA", at positions 28 to 591 of the family's 1533-position model. The record is from RNAcentral.